This 498-nucleotide ribosomal RNA is filed under the name uncultured bacterium. Its description in RNAcentral is "bacterial SSU rRNA". It matches the Rfam family "Bacterial small subunit ribosomal RNA", at positions 18 to 489 of the family's 1533-position model. The record is from RNAcentral.
CCUGGCUCAGAACAAACGCUGGCGGCGUGCCUAACACAUGCAAGUCGAACGAGAAAUUCCCUGCUUGCAGGGGAAAGUAAAGUGGCGCACGGGUGAGUAACGCGUGGGUAACCUACCUUUGAAUCUGGAAUAACCAGCCGAAAGGCUGACUAAUACCGGAUACGGUUUUUUAGGCUUCGGUCUUUUAAAUUAAAGGUGACCUCUUCAUGAAAGUUGCCGUUCAUAGAUGGGCCCGCGUACCAUUAGCUUGUUGGUGGGGUAAUGGCCUACCAAGGCGACGAUGGUUAGCUGGUCUGAGAGGAUGAUCAGCCACACUGGAACUGGAACACGGUCCAGACUCCUACGGGAGGCAGCAGUGAGGAAUUUUGCGCAAUGGGGGAAACCCUGACGCAGCAACGCCGCGUGAGCGAAGAAGGCCUUCGGGUCGUAAAGCUCUGUCAAGUGGGAAAAAAAUCUUUUGAUCAAUAGUCAAAAGACUUGAUGGUACCACUGGAGGAA